Molecule: ribosomal RNA, 1489 nt
Filed under: metagenome
Description: bacterial SSU rRNA
Rfam family: Bacterial small subunit ribosomal RNA
Source: RNAcentral
AGAGUUUGAUCAUGGCUCAGAUUGAACGCUGGCGGCAGGCCUAACACAUGCAAGUCGAACGGUAACAGGAAGCAGCUUGCUGCUUCGCUGACGAGUGGCGGACGGGUGAGUAAUGUCUGGGAAGCUGCCUGAUGGAGGGGGAUAACUACUGGAAACGGUAGCUAAUACCGCAUAAUGUCGCAAGACCAAAGAGGGGGACCUUCGGGCCUCUUGCCAUCGGAUGUGCCCAGAUGGGAUUAGCUUGUUGGUGGGGUAACGGCUCACCAAGGCGACGAUCCCUAGCUGGUCUGAGAGGAUGACCAGCCACACUGGAACUGAGACACGGUCCAGACUCCUACGGGAGGCAGCAGUGGGGAAUAUUGCACAAUGGGCGCAAGCCUGAUGCAGCCAUGCCGCGUGUAUGAAGAAGGCCUUCGGGUUGUAAAGUACUUUCAGCGGGGAGGAAGGGAGUAAAGUUAAUACCUUUGCUCAUUGACGUUACCCGCAGAAGAAGCACCGGCUAACUCCGUGCCAGCAGCCGCGGUAAUACGGAGGGUGCAGCGUUAAUCGGAAUUACUGGGCGUAAAGCGCACGCAGGCGGUUUGUUAAGUCAGAUGUGAAAUCCCCGGGCUCAACCUGGGAACUGCAUCUGAUACUGGCAAGCUUGAGUCUCGUAGAGGGGGGUAGAAUUCCAGGUGUAGCGGUGAAAUGCGUAGAGAUCUGGAGGAAUACCGGUGGCGAAGGCGGCCCCCUGGACGAAGACUGACGCUCAGGUGCGAAAGCGUGGGGAGCAAACAGGAUUAGAUACCCUUGUAGUCCACGCCGUAAACGAUGUCGACUUGGAGGUUGUGCCCUUGAGGCGUGGCUUCCGGAGCUAACGCGUUAAGUCGACCGCCUGGGGAGUACGGCCGCAAGGUUAAAACUCAAAUGAAUUGACGGGGGCCCGCACAAGCGGUGGAGCAUGUGGUUUAAUUCGAUGCAACGCGAAGAACCUUACCUGGUCUUGACAUCCACGGAAGUUUUCAGAGAUGAGAAUGUGCCUUCGGGAACCGUGAGACAGGUGCUGCAUGGCUGUCGUCAGCUCGUGUUGUGAAAUGUUGGGUUAAGUCCCGCAACGAGCGCAACCCUUAUCCUUUGUUGCCAGCGGUCCGGCCGGGAACUCAAAGGAGACUGCCAGUGAUAAACUGGAGGAAGGUGGGGAUGACGUCAAGUCAUCAUGGCCCUUACGACCAGGGCUACACACGUGCUACAAUGGCGCAUACAAAGAGAAGCGACCUCGCGAGAGCAAGCGGACCUCAUAAAGUGCGUCGUAGUCCGGAUUGGAGUCUGCAACUCGACUCCAUGAAGUCGGAAUCGCUAGUAAUCGUGGAUCAGAAUGCCACGGUGAAUACGUUCCCGGGCCUUGUACACACCGCCCGUCACACCAUGGGAGUGGGUUGCAAAAGAAGUAGGUAGCUUAACCUUCGGGAGGGCGCUUACCACUUUGUGAUUCAUGACUGGGGUGAAGUCC